UACGGAGGGUGCAAGCGUUGUCCGGAUUUAUUGGGUUUAAAGGGUGCGUAGGCGGCUUAUUAAGUCAGGGGUGAAAGACUGCAGCUCAACUGUAGCAGUGCCUUUGAUACUGAUGAGCUUGAGUACAGAUGAGGCCGGCGGAAUGGGUGGUGUAGCGGUGAAAUGCAUAGAUACCAUCCAGAACACCGAUUGCGAAGGCAGCCGGCUAAACUACAACUGACGCUGAGGCACGAAAGCGUGGGGAUCCAACAGG
This 253-nucleotide ribosomal RNA is filed under the name uncultured bacterium. Its description in RNAcentral is "partial 16S ribosomal RNA". It matches the Rfam family "Bacterial small subunit ribosomal RNA", at positions 524 to 776 of the family's 1533-position model. The record is from RNAcentral.